Phyllostomus discolor (pale spear-nosed bat) is the source of this 805-nucleotide long non-coding RNA. RefSeq lists it as uncharacterized. NCBI's taxonomy places the organism in Eukaryota, Metazoa, Chordata, Mammalia, Chiroptera, Phyllostomidae. The record is from RefSeq and is a predicted model, not a curated record. The transcript is spliced from 3 exons.
GCCUGUGGCCCUACAGAACCUCAGGCUUUUCUCAAAGUGGCAGCCACAGAGCAGGCAGCAGACACCAUGGGAUUCCUUUCAGUCUCUACCCACAGAGGACUUGUCCACUGGCAAGGGCUCCUGAUGGUGGUCUCACUCUUAAACUUCUGGUGCCUGGCCACCACAGAUGAACUGGGUAUUUUUGAAGGAAAUGUUACUGAAGGGGAGAAUAUUCUUUUUCCUUUCGACAAUGCGACCCCCAACUUUGCUCGCAUCAAAUGGUAUAGAGGGAAAGGCAUGGACGAGGGUUGGAAAAUUGCAUUUCUUAUAGCAAACUCGUUAUAGCACAUAAGAGGUCCUGCAGAGGGACAUGUGAUAAUAAACUAUGAUGGGUCCUUGAUGCUAGUAAAUGUCACCAUGGAUGACACAGGGAUAUGCCCUGUAGUACUGGAAUGUCCAGAUGUAAGAAUGCUAACAGGAUAUGUAUACCUUAAUGUACAUGGAUCUGUGAGAAAGCCAACCCUCCUAGCCAGCAACACCACAGUCACCGAGAAUAAGGAUGCUGUGGUCUUGACCUGCUACACAAAUAUGACCUCCACACAGUGGUUGUUCAAUGGCAGAGAUUUGCAGCUCAUGAAAAGAAUGAAACUGUCCCAGGACCACAGAAGCCUCAACAUAGACGCUGUCCAGAGGGCGGAUGCUGGUCAUUGCCAGUGUAAUGUCUCUGACUCCAUCCUUUCUGUUAAAAGUGCUCCACUUAACCUGGAUGUGAAAUUUGAGUGACCCCCCUUUCCCCUUCUAUGUUGUUAAACUCUAAAUAAAGUGU